CCAACAGGGAUUGCCUCAGUAACGGCGAGUGAAGCGGCAACAGCUCAAAUUUGAAAUCUGGCCCCCCGGCCCGAGUUGUAAUUUGCAGAGGAUGCUUCUGGCGCGGUGCCUUCCAAGUCCCCUGGAACGGGGCGCCAUAGAGGGUGAGAGCCCCGUCGGGUCGGCCGCCAAGCCUGUGUGAAGCUCCUUCGACGAGUCGAGUAGUUUGGGAAUGCUGCUCUAAAUGGGAGGUAGACCCCUUCUAAAGCUAAAUACCGGCCAGAGACCGAUAGCGCACAAGUAGAGUGAUCGAAAGAUGAAAAGCACUUUGAAAAGAGGGUUAAACAGUACGUGAAAUUGUUGAAAGGGAAGCGCUUGUGACCAGACGUGCACCGGGUGUUCAGCGGGCGUUCUCGCCCGUGCAUUCGCCCCGGUGCAGGCCAGCGUCGGUUCGGGCGGGGGGACAAAGGCGCCAGGAACGUAGCUCCCCCGGGAGUGUUAUAGCCUGGCGCGUCAUGCCCCCGCCUGGACCGAGGUUCGCGCUCCGCAAGGACGCUGGCGUAAUGGUCCCCAGCGGCCCGUCUUGAAACACGGACCAAGGAGUCGAGGUUUUACGCGAGUGUCUGGGUGUCAAACCCGCACGCGUAAUGAAAGUGAACGCAGGUGGGAGCUUCGGCGCACCACCGACCGAUCCUGAUGUUCUCGGAUGGAUUUGAGUAGGAGCGUAGGGCCUCGGACCCGAAAGAUGGUGAACUAUACUUGGAUAGGGUGAAGCCAGAGGAAACUCUGGUGGAGGCUCGCAGCGGUUCUGACGUGCAAAUCGAUCGUCAAAUCUGAGUAUGGGGGGCGAAAGACUAAUCGAACCAU
RNAcentral lists this ribosomal RNA (846 nucleotides) under Codinaea pyriformis. RNAcentral describes it as "partial large subunit ribosomal RNA". It matches the Rfam family "Eukaryotic large subunit ribosomal RNA", at positions 65 to 943 of the family's 3401-position model. Lineage: Eukaryota; Fungi; Ascomycota; Sordariomycetes; Chaetosphaeriales; Chaetosphaeriaceae. The record is from RNAcentral.